AGCAGCCGCGGUAAUUCCAGCUCCAAUAGCGUAUAUUAAAGUUGUUGCAGUUAAAAAGCUCGUAGUUGAAUUUCGGGAUUAGUGCGCUGGUCAUGCCUUCGGUAUGUACUGGUGUUACUGGUUCCUACCUUCUGAAGAACCGUUAUGUCAUUCAUUUGGUGUGGCGGGGAAUCAGGACUGUUACUUUGAAAAAUUGAGUGUUUAAAGCAGGCUCGCGCUUGAAUACAUUAGCAUGGAAUAAUGAAAUAGGACGUUUGACCCUAUUUUGUUGGUUUCUAGGAUCGACGUAAUGAUUAAUAGGGAUAGUUGGGGGCAUUAGUAUUCAAUUGUCAGAGGUGAAAUUCUUGGAUUUAUUGAAGACUAACUACUGCGAAAGCAUUUGCCAAGGAUGUUUUCAUUAAUCAAGAACGAAAGUUAGGGGAUCGGAAGACGAUCAGAUACCGUCGUAGUCUUAACCAUAAACUAUGCCGACUAGGGAUCGGAUGAUGUUAUUUUUAAUGACUCAUUCGGCGCCUUAAC
This 519-nucleotide ribosomal RNA is filed under the name uncultured Glomus. RNAcentral's name for it is "SSU rRNA". It matches the Rfam family "Eukaryotic small subunit ribosomal RNA", at positions 569 to 1092 of the family's 1831-position model. Lineage: Eukaryota; Fungi; Glomeromycota; Glomeromycetes; Glomerales; Glomeraceae. The record is from RNAcentral.